Molecule: long non-coding RNA, 4731 nt
Filed under: Sus scrofa (pig)
Lineage: Eukaryota; Metazoa; Chordata; Mammalia; Artiodactyla; Suidae
Description: lncRNA (ENSSSCG00030070409.1)
Source: RNAcentral
UAACAGCACCAACAGCACACUCUCUGUGCAUUUCUGAAAAGCAUGUUCCUCUUCCUCCUAUUCACCGCAGCUAGAACGCUUAAGUUCUGUUCAACUUUCUCCCUCUGUCUCCCACUCCGCUAAUGUUUAUCGGGUGCCUGCUGCAGGCCAGCAACUGCAACAUCUCUCUAAUCCAUCUGUCCUUCACCAUUCCCUGCACCACAGCCUCACCACUUCCCCCUUACAUUACUGCAAUAGCCUCUUAAAUCGUUCCUGGAUCCUAUCUCCAGUAGUGAGUUCCCCUAAUCUAUAUCUACACAUGGUUGCCCAAGUGAUCUUCCUGAAAUGUAUGUUAUUCCCUUGCUCAAAAUCCUCAAAGCCAAACUCCUACGUGUGGCCUUCUUUCCUAGGUUCAUCUCCCUGGCAUUAAUUCUAUUCUCUACUUACACAGCAAAAAUUCAAUAACACUUUGCUGAAUGCUCCAUGCUGUUUCAUCACAAUAUAACCUUCUUCUUGAAAUAUCUUUCUCAUUUCCUUUACCUGAUGAACUUCUAUUCAUUCUUAAAGAUUUAAAUCAAAGGUAUCUUUUCUAAGCAAACUUCCUUGGUCCAAUGACCUUCUCAGCCAAUUACUCUUCUACACCACUGUUCUUUUGAGGGGCUCCUCACUCUGUGUUUGAAGCCUAUAAAGCACCUAUUAAAUUUUACUGUUAUUUCAUUGCUAAUCAUCAGGGAAAUGCAAAUCAAAACCACCAUGAGCUAUCACCUCACACCUGUCAGAAUGGAUAACAUCAAAAAGGACAUAAAUAAGAAUUGUUGGCAAGGAUGUGAGAAAAGGAAACUCUCCUACACUGCUGGGGGGGAUGUAAAUUGGUGCAGCCAUGGUGGAAAACAGUAUGGAGGUUUGUUAAAACCCUGAAAAUAGAACCACUAUAUGAUCCAGAGAUCCAGUCCUGGUUAUAUAGCAAAAAAACAAAAACAAAACCAAAAACAAACCCAGCCACUACUCUGAAAAGAUGCAUGUACCCCAGUGUUCAUAGCAGCAUUAUUUACAAUUCCCAAGAUAUAUAUAGAAGCAACCUGUGUCUAUCCAACAAAGAAAUGGAUAAAGAAGACUGGUAUACCACUUAGCCAUAAAAAGAAGGGAAUUCUGCCAUUUGCAGCAACAUGGAUGGACUUGCAAGGUAAUAUGCUAAUUUUAGAAAGUCAGACAGAGAAAGACAAAUCCUGAAUGAUAUCACUUAUAUGGGGAAUCUUAAAAAUACAACAAACUAGUAAGUAUAUCAAAAAAUGAAGCAGACUCACAGAUACAGACAACAAACUAGUGGUUACCAGUAAGGGUGGCAAUAUUGAAAUGGAGGAGUGGAAGGCACAAGCCAUUGGGUAUAAGACAGGCUCCAGGAUGGAUUACACAACUCAGGAAUAUAGCCAAUAUUUUGUAAUAACUGUAAACAGAAAGUAACACUUAAAAGUUGUCUUUUAAAAAUAUUUUUAAAUAAAAUUAAAAAUAAAUCUUAAAACAAUAAUAAAUAGGAGUUCCCAUCACAGCACACUGGAAAUGAAUCUGACUAGUAUCCACGAGGAUGCGGGUUCCAUCCCUGGUCUUGCUCAGGAUAAGGCGCUGCCGUGAGCUGUGGUGCAGGUCACAGACAUGGCUGGUAUUGCUGUGGCUGUGGCGUAGGCUGGUGGCUACAGCUCCGAUUCAACCCCUAGUCUGGGAACCUCCAUAUGCUGCGGGUGUGGCCCUAAAAAGACAAAAAUAAAUAGAUAAAAAAUAAAAACAAUACUCCCACCGACGUUGUCUGUCAGAUUCCAUAGCUUUUGGACACACAAUCCAAUGUAGCUGGUUUAUGCAAAAAUGUAGUUAUUACAAGGUGUAAGGCAGCUAACAAAAUUUCUGGGAAAGGCAGGUCAUUGUACAGGUCAUUGUACAGCUUGGAUGGUACUCAACCAACAACUCGCAGUCCGUAGAACACUUGGUCCUUACAGGGACCUCACAGCCAAAACCUCACUCUGACUGCUCCAGGACAAUGAUUGACCAGUAGUUCCUGGAGAAUCAAACACUGCAUCACCAUACUUGCCAGAAGGUUCUCUCUCUGAACACUUAUACCCACCACUCAUUGCUCACUUCUUCCUUCCAAGUCUUUUCACCUACUCUGCACAACUCCAGAGGUUGCCAUCACAUCACUCGGAGCCUGUAAGCCACAUGCUGAGGCACCCUUCACACACCCUUCACCCUUUACAUGUGCUUGAGGAAUCAUAGCUCAUGUGUGAAUCCUAGCUGCAAAGGGAUCUGGGAAAUGGAGUGUCACCCUUGCUGCCUCAAUAAUUCAGGAAGCCACACCAAAAGGGGGACUGAGGUGGGUGCUGAGUGAGCCACUUUGUACUUCCUUUCCCAUAAGUGCCUAGUAAAUGAUGAGGAGGAAUGAACAGAUAGAAGGAAGAAAUAUAAAAGUCAUAAUUAUCAUCUUAACUCCUCCAUAUUUUUAUUUACAUAUUAUUCAAAUUUAGCCUUUAAUUAACAAAAUAUGCCAUUACCCCUUCAAAAAUAUCAUUUAUCUUUUUCUUUUCAGGCAAUUAUUUGGCUCUGUCUUUACUGCAUCAUCUGCUUCUAAAUUGUUCAAAUGUUCACACAAUCUAUGUGUUCCUUCGACUGUAGCUUGUGAUUUGAAAAAUACUGCAUUCCUUUUUACCUGUACAGGAACAUGAACCCUCUGAUUAUAACAACACAUAUUGACUCAUACAAUGAAAGUUUCCUUUGAGGAAUGCCCUCUUGGUCUAGUGGUUAGGACUCAGCACUUUCAACCACUGCAGAUCAGGUUCAAUACCCGGUCUGGGGACUGUGAUCCCAUAUCAAGCUGCAGCAUGCCAUUCCCGCCCCCGCCCCACAAAGGUUUCUGUCAAAUCUGAAACCAUAAUUCCAAGUUACUUCUGUCAGAACAGAUAAAUUGAACAUAACUUUGAUUUCUUUCUGUGCUUGGAAUCUUUAUGUCAGAACAGAUAAAUUGAACAUUGAUUUCUUUCUGUACUUGCAAUCUUUAUAGCACACUGAUGACAGCAAUUAAGCUAUCUAUUUUAGGCAUACUAGGUAUAGAACUCUCCUGCAAAAAUUCAUAAGCUUAAAUAAAUUCAUUUUUUAACCUGUGCUUAAGUUUUUGUUUCCCAAAGUUCAAGACCCAAAUUAGCACUCUUCUAGUGCAUUCCCAGUGCAUGUUUUUUAGGUACCCAGACUGAGUUUCUAAAGAUAAAAUUAUGCUUAGUGAUAAGAUUUACACUAUCAUCAUUCAGCCCCUGACUCACUGAAUGACACAGGUGAGCUAUGUAAGAUAUGGUAGUUAAGUGACUGGUUCAGCAAGUGAACUAUAGGAAGGGUCAGAGGUUAGGAUGAUAAAACUCAGGUAGAUGGAUGAGGAUUUUAUUACAGCAAUACUAAUAUGAAUUCAUUUCCAAAUAAGACCUUAUAAUUGUGAAAAAAGCAUUUCUCCUGUUAAAUGAUGUGCACAACAUUUCUGGGAAGCAAUCGGGUAUCAUCUCCAUUUUACUGAAUUCAAGUCAACAAAUCAAAAAGUUGAGCACCUACUAUAUGCCAGGUGCUGUGCAAGGUGCAAUAGUUACCAUAAUUAGACAUAGGGUAACGUGAUAGUGUAGACAUAGUGUAAUUGGAGUUCAAUAAAUGCCAUGAUAGGAAAGUUUAGAGUAGAACAGAAGCAUAAAGGUAGAAAAGAUUCACAGAAGAAGCUCUUAGCCUAGACUUUCAGAAAGUGAGAGUAACAUCUGAACUGGUGGUUCUCAAUGAGUGGCAAUUUUACACCCACCCCACUUCUAGGAAACAUAUUUGAUUGAUCCAGUUUUUUUAUAGGAGUUGAGGGGUGCUACUGGCCAGAAGCCGGGGAUGCUGCUAAACCUCUUUCCAAGUCUCGCCCACAGGAGAGCCCCUGCAAAAAAGAUUAUUCAGUCCAUAAAGCCAACAGCGCUGCAGGUAAGAAACCAGCCAUGUAAGAGCUGAUACAUGACUAGGACCUGGCUAGGUGGAGGCAUCAGGGGAGGACAUGGCAGUGGUGGAGGAAUGAUAGGGGACAAUGUUCCAAGAGUGAGUGCCUCUUAUGUGAAGAAUCUCCACACUAACUGGAUCGCCAAUGUUCUUUAAUUGUGAAAUACACGUAACAUGAAACUUACCAUUUUAAACACUUUUAAGUGUAGAGUUCAGUGAUAUUAAGUGUUUCACACUGUUGUGCAACAACCACUACCAUUUCUCUCUGGAAAUUUUUUAUCAUUCCAAACCAUACCUCUGUGCUUAAUAAACAGCAAUUCCUCAUUUUUCCCUGCCCCCAGCCCCUGAAACCCAUUGUACUCUCUGUCUCUAUGGAUGUGACUGCUCUAGGAACCUCGUGUAAGUGGAAUAAUACAGUAUUUGCUCUUUUGUGUCUGGCUUAUUUCACUUAGUACAAUGUCUUCAAGGUCCAUCCACAUUGUAGCAAGUGUCAGAUGUCCCUUCCUUUUAAAGGACUGAAUAAUAUUCCACUGUAUGUACAGACCAUAUUUUGUUUAUCCACUCAUCCACUGUUGGACGACUGGGUUGUUUUCACCCUUUGGCUACUGUGAAUAAUGCUGCUCUGAACAUGAGCUAGAAGUAUCUGUUCAACUUCCUGCAUUCAACUCUUUUGAGGAUAUACUUAGAGAUCGCAAUUUUUACAUACCAAUUAAUUGUUCUAUUGCUCGGCAUAGAGUAAAAAAAAAUAAUACCCAAGAUCCC